This 481-nucleotide ribosomal RNA is filed under the name uncultured bacterium. RNAcentral's name for it is "partial 16S ribosomal RNA". It matches the Rfam family "Bacterial small subunit ribosomal RNA", at positions 28 to 507 of the family's 1533-position model. The record is from RNAcentral.
GAUGAACGCUGGCGGCGUGCUUAACACAUGCAAGUCGAACGAAGCAUUUGCGACAGAUUUUUUCGGAAUGAAGUUGCUUAUGACUGAGUGGCGGACGGGUGAGUAACGCGUGGGUAACCUGCCUUGUACUGGGGGAUAGCAGCUGGAAACAGCUGGUAAUACCGCAUAAGCGCACAAUGUUGCAUGACAUGGUGUGAAAAACUCCGGUGGUAUAAGAUGGACCCGCGUCUGAUUAGCUAGUUGGUGAGAUAACAGCCCACCAAGGCGACGAUCAGUAGCCGACCUGAGAGGGUGACCGGCGACAUUGGGACUGAGACACGGCCCAGACUCCUACGGGAGGCAGCAGUGGGGAAUAUUGCACAAUGGAGGAAACUCUGAUGCAGCGACGCCGCGUGAGUGAAGAAGUAAUUCGUUAUGUAAAGCUCUAUCAGCAGGGAAGAUAGUGACGGUACCUGACUAAGAAGCUCCGGCUAAAUACGUG